Molecule: RNA transcript, 1603 nt
Organism: Gopherus flavomarginatus (Mexican gopher tortoise)
Lineage: Eukaryota; Metazoa; Chordata; Testudines; Testudinidae
Gene: DCAF7
Gene name: DDB1 and CUL4 associated factor 7
Exons: 8
Source: RefSeq, a predicted model, not a curated record
CCAAACGGCCUCCGCCGCGGCUCGCAGCGCCUCCCGGUUUGGAAGCCGGGACUCGGGCCCAGGAGCCGGCGGCGCCCUCCACCCGCGUCCCCCGCUCGGCCCGUCUGCGCCCGGCUUCCGUAGGCCCCGCUCGGACCGGGACACCCCCCCGCCCCGCGCGCGCCUCAGCUGGGCCCUGGGCCCCUCCUCGGCUGCCUGUGGCCCCCGCCCGCGCCCCCCGGCCCCGCCAUGUCGCUGCACGGGAAGCGGAAGGAGAUCUACAAGUACGAGGCGCCCUGGACCGUGUACGCCAUGAACUGGAGCGUCCGGCCCGACAAGCGCUUCCGCCUGGCGCUCGGCAGCUUCGUGGAGGAGUACAACAACAAGGUCCAGCUUGUUGGUUUAGAUGAGGAGAGCUCGGAGUUCAUUUGCAGGAACACCUUUGAUCACCCAUAUCCUACUACAAAGCUCAUGUGGAUUCCUGACACCAAGGGAGUAUAUCCAGACCUAUUGGCAACCAGCGGUGAUUACCUGCGUGUGUGGAGAGUGGGUGAAACUGAGACCCGACUGGAGUGCUUGCUGAACAAUAAUAAGAACUCUGAUUUUUGUGCCCCGUUAACGUCGUUUGAUUGGAAUGAAGUGGAUCCUUAUCUUCUCGGUACCUCUAGUAUUGACACAACCUGUACUAUCUGGGGUCUGGAGACUGGGCAGGUAUUGGGAAGAGUAAAUCUGGUAUCGGGCCAUGUCAAGACCCAGCUUAUUGCACAUGACAAAGAGGUAUAUGACAUUGCAUUUAGCCGCGCGGGUGGCGGGAGAGACAUGUUUGCAUCAGUUGGUGCAGAUGGCUCGGUGCGGAUGUUUGACCUUCGUCAUCUGGAGCACAGCACCAUUAUCUAUGAGGAUCCACAGCACCAUCCGUUGCUGCGUCUGUGCUGGAACAAGCAGGAUCCCAACUAUCUUGCAACAAUGGCCAUGGAUGGUAUGGAGGUGGUGAUUCUCGAUGUCAGAGUUCCCUGCACACCCGUUGCCAGGUUAAACAACCACAGAGCAUGUGUGAAUGGCAUUGCCUGGGCACCUCACUCUUCCUGCCAUAUCUGUACAGCAGCGGAUGACCAUCAGGCUCUCAUCUGGGAUAUCCAGCAAAUGCCUCGUGCCAUUGAGGACCCAAUCUUGGCCUACACAGCAGAAGGGGAAAUCAACAAUGUACAGUGGGCAUCGACUCAGCCGGACUGGAUAGCUAUCUGCUACAACAACUGUCUGGAGAUCUUGAGAGUGUAACACUAUUGGUCUGUGCCAAACUGAGGCAGGGCUUUAUAACUUCCCCUCCCCUCUAAAGUUCACUGAUGUGCGGAGAAAGGGGUUAUUGGUUUAUAUUUUCCAUGGGCUUCUGAGGCUAAUAAAAUUCAAUGAUCAUCUUUGUUCUCAUGUAUCAGAACUUUACCAACUCAAAGUUAAGUUUGCUAGUAACACGUUACAAAAACUACAUACAAACAGGUCAGUUCAUAGAGCUCCAUUUGAAAAGCUCUUAACUGAUCCGUUAAAGUAACAUACAUAAAGGUUUAUUACUUUUCAGGUAAUUAUUCUUCAAAUAAAUUUUUAAAAACCCCAAAACGCGAACACUUAU